GGAAGAUAAUGACGGUACCCAUAGAAGAAGCCCCGGCUAACUUCGUGCCAGCAGCCGCGGUAAUACGAGGGGGGCAAGCGUUGUUCGGAAUUAUUGGGCGUAAAGGGUGCGUAGGCGGUUUGACAAGUCUUAUGUGAAAUCUUCGGGCUCAACCCGAAGUCUGCAUGGGAAACUGUCGGGCUUGAGUAUGGGAGAGGUGAGUGGAAUUUCCGGUGUAGCGGUGAAAUGCGUAGAUAUCGGAAGGAACACCUGUGGCGAAAGCGGCUCUCUGGACCAUAACUGACGCUGAUGCACGAAAGCUAGGGGAGCAAACAGGAUUAGAUACCCUGGUAGUCCUAGCCCU
Molecule: ribosomal RNA, 343 nt
Filed under: uncultured Edaphobacter sp.
Lineage: Bacteria; Pseudomonadati; Acidobacteriota; Terriglobia; Terriglobales; Acidobacteriaceae
Description: bacterial SSU rRNA
Rfam family: Bacterial small subunit ribosomal RNA
Source: RNAcentral